GACGUAGGGCGCGAGCGUUGUCCGGAUUUAUUGGGCGUAAAGCGCACGUAGGCGGCUUAGCAAGUCGGAAGUGAAAUCCCUCGGCUCAACCAAGGAAGUGCUUUCGAAACUGCUGAGCUUGAGUACUUAAGAGGAUCGCGGAAUUCCCGGUGUAGAGGUGAAAUUCGUAGAUAUCGGGAGGAACACCAGUGGCGAAGGCGGCGAUCUGGGAAGAUACUGACGCUGAGGUGCGAAAGCGUGGGGAGCAAACAGG
Molecule: ribosomal RNA, 253 nt
Filed under: uncultured bacterium
Lineage: Bacteria
Description: partial 16S ribosomal RNA
Rfam family: Bacterial small subunit ribosomal RNA
Source: RNAcentral